This 440-nucleotide ribosomal RNA is filed under the name uncultured bacterium. RNAcentral describes it as "bacterial SSU rRNA". It matches the Rfam family "Bacterial small subunit ribosomal RNA", at positions 338 to 795 of the family's 1533-position model. The record is from RNAcentral.
CCUACGGGAGGCAGCAGUAGGGAAUCUUGCGCAAUGGGCGAAAGCCUGACGCAGCGACGCCGCGUGCGGGAUGAAGGCCUUCGGGUUGUAAACCGCUUUCAGCAGGGACGAAAUUGACGGUACCUGCAGAAGAAGGCCCGGCCAACUACGUGCCAGCAGCCGCGGUAAUACGUAGGGGCCUAGCGUUGUCCGGAUUUAUUGGGCGUAAAGAGCUCGUAGGCGGCACGGUUAGUCAGGUGUGAAAUCUCCACGCUCAACGUGGAGGGGUCACCUGAUACUGCCGAGCUUGAGUCCGGUAGGGGAGUGUGGAAUUCCCGGUGUAGCGGUGAAAUGCGCAGAUAUCGGGAGGAACACCCGUAGCGAAGGCGGCACUCUGGGCCGGUACUGACGCUGAGGAGCGAAAGCGUGGGGAGCAAACAGGAUUAGAUACCCUAGUAGUC